CUUAAAGAAGAUUGAAAGAUAAACACAGAAAAAAAAGAAAAAAGGAACCUCGAAACAUUAGGGUUUUCAUAGAAACGGCGAGAAAAGCCUGAACGGGCUCAUCGGAGCUUGGCAAGGACCCAAUGCUUCAAAGACUUGUCGGAGAAAGGCCUGACAUAACCGUGAAACUCCAUUGAAGGACCUCUGGUCCAGUCACACUCACGAUAAUGUCCCGAUAUUCGAACCCAAGUCCAGGAGAGGUGAUGAGUGGAAGAGCAUGGCAGUUUCAAGCCUUGAAUGGCCAUUAACGCCGGCGAAGAGGGUGUGAGACGACUAGGGUUUUCUGAAAACCUAGAGAGCAUUUGGGAGUGAAG
RNAcentral lists this long non-coding RNA (353 nucleotides) under Nicotiana benthamiana. RNAcentral describes it as "long non-coding RNA (NBEN_LNC003340)". Lineage: Eukaryota; Viridiplantae; Streptophyta; Magnoliopsida; Solanales; Solanaceae. The record is from RNAcentral.